Molecule: ribosomal RNA, 810 nt
Filed under: Triticum aestivum (bread wheat)
Lineage: Eukaryota; Viridiplantae; Streptophyta; Magnoliopsida; Poales; Poaceae
Description: partial small subunit ribosomal RNA
Source: RNAcentral
AUGCCCUCCCUCGCCUCCCUCGGCCACACCAUCACCAAAAAGCUUACCCGCGAAAACUUUCUGGUGUGGAAGGCUCAAGUGCUCCCGCAUGUCAGGGCCGCGGCGAUGACGAGCUAUCUUGACGGCUCGAUCAAGGAGCCCGCCGCUGUCAUCGUCAUCGAGAAGGACAACGCCGGGAAGAAGGAGAUCACCGAGGCGCCCAACCCAGAACACGCGAUCUGGGUCACUCAAGAUCAGCAGGUGCUUACCUUCUUGCUCGCCUCUCUAUCCCGCGAGGUUCUGAUGCAGGUUUCCAACCACACCACCGCCGCGGGAGUCUGGCAAGCCCUGGUGGAAAGCUUUUCUGCCCAGUCCCGGGCGCGCCAGAUACAGCUCCGUUCUGCGAUCGGGAACGCACGCAAGGGCGACCUCUCCGCUGCCGCCUACUUCACCAAGAUGAAGAGGCUCGCCGACGAGCUAGCUGCUGCAGGAAAACCGCUUGAUGAAAACGACGUCGUCUCGCACAUCCUGGAGGGUCGCAUGCAUGAGCCCGACUACAACGGCUUCGUCACUUCCAUCUCCACGCGCGCCAUCACCGAUCAACCGAUCGGCCUCAGCGAGCUCUUCUCGCUACUGCUCGCCGCUGAGUCUCGGAUCGCCGCCCAGCACGCCGCCUACACCGCCCAUCACUCUGUCAACCUCGCCGCAAAGGGUGGUCAAGGUGGAUACGGCGGUGGACGCGGCGGUCAGGGUGGUGGACGCUGGUGGCUACAACGGGGGCAACUACAACGACAACUCGAGCGGCGGUGCGCCGCGCCAGCAAGGUGGUGA